UGAGGAAUAUUGGGCAAUGCCCGCAAGGGUGACCCAGCAACGCCGCGUGAAGGAUGAAGGCCGUAAGGUUGUAAACUUCUGUUAGAGGGGACGAAUAGCUUCGAUCAAAUCGAAGUCUGACGGUACCCUCAGAGAAAGCCCCGGCUAACUACGUGCCAGCAGCCGCGGUAAUACGUAGGGGGCAAGCGUUGUCCGGAUUUACUGGGUGUAAAGGGCGCGUAGGCGGCUAUAUAAGUCAGUGGUGAAAUCCUGCGGCUCAACUGCAGAACUGCCAUUGAUACUGUAUAGCUUGAAUGUGGAAGAGAGAGACGGAAUUCCAGGUGUAGUGGUGAAAUACGUAGAUAUCUGGAAGAACACCAGUUGCGAAGGCGGUCUCUUGGUCCAUUAUUGACGCUGAGGCGCGAAAGCGUGGGUAGCAAACAGG
RNAcentral lists this ribosomal RNA (424 nucleotides) under uncultured bacterium. RNAcentral describes it as "bacterial SSU rRNA". It matches the Rfam family "Bacterial small subunit ribosomal RNA", at positions 355 to 776 of the family's 1533-position model. The record is from RNAcentral.